AUGGCCCACCCCUCUUAAACCUUUUCACCUCCUCUUUCUCUCUUCUCUUCUCACCUUUAAUUAAACAACUCUAUUUCCCCUUUCUUCGUUAUCCCCUCUUUCUCUCUCUUCCUCUUACCCUUCCCCUUUCUCUGUGCAAUUAAGCACCACGAAAGUCUGCUGCAACCAUAGGCGGAGUAGAAAAGCCCCACCAUUUCCAACCUAUAAUCGUCGCUCAUCAGAUCAGGAAUUCGGUUGCACUUCAAAAGGUCUCUUUCUCUAUCUUCUAGAACUCCGUCGUCGUCACCACCUUUUAGGAAUUCAGUCCUAUACGCGAUUUGAAUUCGUCGCCAACAAAUCGCGCUGGCCACCACAACGAUGCUCUAUUCGGUUGAUUUUUGUUUUCUACGAAACCCUGAUUUCAUAAUCUCUCCAUUUCAUCAGUUAUAAGUUAUAAGUGAUCCUAAUUUCUGCAAUUAAUUCAGAAUUUCAGAGACCUCCGGCGAGGCAGCGACUAGCGACGACAAAUGACCAGACGGCCGGCAGACCCCACCUUCGGUUGUGGAUUGUUCCUUCACUUUCCCAAAAUCUCCAAUCUAAUUUCAAAGUGAUUGACGCUACAAGUUAUUCUAUUAAUGUAUUAAUAGUAUAUGCUUGUAAAAUCUUUAAAUCAAUUAGUUAUUAAUUAUUUUAACAAGUUUCUGUACUUGUAAUGUUAAUGUAGUAAUCUAAUACUUGUAAAUUUCAAUAAUAAGUUUAUGUAAGUUUCUUUAAUGGAUUCCUUCUGUAAUUUAAAUUUUUUGCCAAUAGA
Molecule: long non-coding RNA, 790 nt
Organism: Chenopodium quinoa (quinoa)
Lineage: Eukaryota; Viridiplantae; Streptophyta; Magnoliopsida; Caryophyllales; Amaranthaceae
Exons: 3
Source: RefSeq, a predicted model, not a curated record